RNA transcript from Pan troglodytes (chimpanzee), 2337 nucleotides. It is a transcript of the gene named canopy FGF signaling regulator 3, with no coding region annotated. NCBI's taxonomy places the organism in Eukaryota, Metazoa, Chordata, Mammalia, Primates, Hominidae. The record is from RefSeq and is a predicted model, not a curated record. The transcript is spliced from 8 exons.
GAGCUCAGAAUCAAGAAAUAAAUAAUAGGGCAGUAAAAGGGGCUGGGAUUACAUACAAAAAGAAAAUUAAUGCCUGAACUUUUUACAAUCUGCUUGAUAAGCUUUAAUUCUAUUAACCUAUUUGAGCUUCCCAAGAACAGGCAAGCUCCCACAGCAGCUAGGAGGAUCACUUUGUCGUCAUACAAAUAGAAACAGGCUCAGAGAGGAAGUCAUUUGUUCUAGUUCUCACCAGGACAAAUCUACUGGGUACUAAAAAAGUGUGAAGGCUGGGGACAGUUUGAGUCGUCCUGCUUGCACCUUAAGCGCCUACAAGAGUGCCCGGCUAUAACAACCACAAUACCAAUAAUAAAAUUUAAAAACAGAUGUUCAGUAAGGACUUGCGGCAUUAGGACCCCAGGAGGGAAGUGACGUUCGAGGAGGCGGAGAAAGCCGCGAAGACGGCCUUCCCCACAUCUUCCAGCACCUGCGCGCCUGAAUCCGUCCCACCCAGGUCCAGACGCAGGCUUCUUCUCCUCGGGUCCUGGUCCUGCAUCCUCUCUCUCCCAGAGCCUCCGUUAGGGGGUGGGAAAGGACUUUGCCAUAGGUCGCUGAGGCCACCAUCUGCUCUCUUACUGGCCAAGGGCGUAAAAAGAUAGUCCUCCCAUUAGCUAGAGAGCAAACCCCAGAAAGCCUAUUGGCUGCGCCGUCCGCGGGCCUUGCUCCGCUUUGAAGGCAGGCUGCGGCUGCGAGAGGAGGGCGGGCGGGAGGCUAGCUGUUGUCGUGGUUGCUCGGAGGCACGUGUGCAGUCCCGGAAGCGGCGAAGGGAAACUGCUCCGCGCUCGCCGCGGGAGGAGGAACCGCCCGGUCCUUUAGGGUCCGGGCCCGGCCGGGCCAUGGAUUCUUUGCCUGAGCCCGCGUCCCGCUGUCUUCUGCUUCUUCCCUUGCUGCUGCUGCUGCUGCUGCUGCUGCCGGCCCCGGAGCUGGGCCCGAGCCAGGCCGGAGCUGAGGAGAACGACUGGGUUCGCCUGCCCAGCAAAUGCGAAGUGUGUAAAUAUGUUGCUGUGGAGCUGAAGUCAGCCUUUGAGGAAACCGGCAAGACCAAGGAGGUGAUUGGCACGGGCUAUGGCAUCCUGGACCAGAAGGCCUCUGGAGUCAAAUACACCAAGUCCAUUUCAGAUCCCCCAGACCAGAUGACCUAUCUUCCUUCCAGCUCUGAGUCACUUCCCAUUGGGACUUGCGGUUAAUCGAAGUGACUGAGACCAUUUGCAAGAGGCUCCUGGAUUAUAGCCUGCACAAGGAGAGGACCGGCAGCAACCGAUUUGCCAAGACACAGGCAGAAAUGCUCCACAGUUGCUGCCCCCGUGGGAACCUAAAGACACUAGAACAGAGAGAACUCAGCAAGAUCCAGGAUGUGCAGAAAGGGCAUGUCAGAGACCUUUGAGACAUUACACAACCUGGUACACAAAGGGGUCAAGGUGGUGAUGGACAUCCCCUAUGAGCUGUGGAACGAGACUUCUGCAGAGGUGGCUGACCUCAAGAAGCAGUGCGAUGUGCUGGUGGAAGAGUUUGAGGAGGUGAUCGAGGACUGGUACAGGAACCACCAGGAGGAAGACCUGACUGAAUUCCUCUGCGCCAACCACGUGCUGAAGGGAAAAGACACCAGUUGCCUGGCAGAGCAGUGGUCCGGCAAGAAGGGAGACACAGCUGCCCUGGGAGGGAAGAAGUCCAAGAAGAAGAGCAGCAGGGCCAAGGCAGCAGGCGGCAGGAGUAGCAGCAGCAAACAAAGGAAGGAGCUGGGUGGCCUUGAGGGAGACCCCAGCCCCGAGGAGGAUGAGGGCAUCCAGAAGGCAUCCCCUCUCACACACAGCCCCCCUGAUGAGCUCUGAGCCCACCCAGCGUCCUCUGUCCUGAGACCCCUGAUUUUGAAGCUGAGGAGUCAGGGGCAUGGCUCUGGCAGGCCAGGAUGGCCCCGCAGCCUUCAGCCCCUCCUUGCCUUGGCUGUGCCCUCUUCUGCCAAGGAAAGACACAAGCCCCAGGAAGAACUCAGAGCCGUCAUGGGUAGCCCACGCCGUCCUUUCCCCUCCCCAAGUGUUUCUCUCCUGACCCAGGGUUCAGGCAGGCCUUGUGGUUUCAGGACUGCAAGGACUCCAAUGUGAACUCAGGAGGGGCAGGUGUCAGAACUGGGCACCAGGACUGGAGCCCCCUCCGGAGACCAAACUCACCAUCCCUCAGUCCUCCCCAACAGGGUACUAGGACUGCAGCCCCCUGUAGCUCCUCUCUGCUUACCCCUCCUGUGGACACCUUGCACUCUGCCUGGCCCUUCCCAGAGCCCAAAGAGUAAAAAUGUUCUGGUUCUGA